This is a non-coding RNA of Candidatus Omnitrophica bacterium CG1_02_49_10, 234 nucleotides long. NCBI's taxonomy places the organism in Bacteria, Pseudomonadati, Candidatus Omnitrophota. The record is from Rfam.
AAAGUUCGACUUGGGCAAAGGUUAGCCGCCAGCCCAACACUAAAUUCCACAUUUAGGGAGGUAACGAACUAAAUGAAGCUGGAAGGCGGGAGACAUCGGGAUACAACGCAAGUGAAGGGAUUGAGCCCCGAAAUUACCAACGUGUCGGAGGUCGACGCUGUUCAUCUAGCGGCAGACAAUAUUCUUGCCACCGUAACCGGCAAGGCGGCAAGAGCCCGACGGGGUCUGAGACCG